Molecule: long non-coding RNA, 294 nt
Organism: Pundamilia nyererei
Lineage: Eukaryota; Metazoa; Chordata; Actinopteri; Cichliformes; Cichlidae
Exons: 3
Source: RefSeq, a predicted model, not a curated record
CAGAAAGGCACAGGGGAGGCAUAAUAAGGAUUCUAAGAAUUACAGCCCUGGGCCACAAUGAGUGCCAGGCGAGGCUUGACUGUUUUGUUAACCAUUUUGGUUGCUGUUGCAAAAGCAGAAACUACGGCAGCGACAACAGAAACUGCGGCUCCAACAACUGGUUCAACUGCAGUAACAAACACAGAAACUGCGGCAACAACAACAACAGAAACUGCAUCAACAACAAUUGGUUCAACUCCAUCAAUAACAACAGAAACUGCGGCAACAACAACUGGUUCAACAGCAGUAACAACA